CCUACGGGUGGCAGCAGUGAGGAAUAUUGGUCAAUGGGCGAGAGCCUGAACCAGCCAAGUCGCGUGAAGGAUGAAGGAUCUAUGGUUUGUAAACUUCUUUUAUAUGGGAAUAAAGUGAGGAACGUGUUACUUUUAGUAUGUACCAUAUUAAUAAGCAUCGGCUAACUCCGGGCCAGCAGCCGCGGUAAUAAGGAGGAUGCGAGCGUUAUCCGGAUUUAUUGGUUUUAAAGGGUGCGUAGGUGGUUAAUUAAGUCAGCGGUGAAAGUUUGAGGUUCAACCAUAAAAUUGCCGGUGAAACUGGUUGACUUGAGUAUAGUUGAGGAAGGCGGAAUGCGUGGUGUAGCGGUGAAAUGCAUAGAUAUCACGCAGAACUCCGAUGGCGAAGGCAGCUUACUGAACUAUAACUGACACUGAGGCACGAAAGCGUGGGGAUCAAACAGGAUUAGAUACCCUGGUAGUC
Molecule: ribosomal RNA, 460 nt
Filed under: uncultured bacterium
Lineage: Bacteria
Description: partial 16S ribosomal RNA
Rfam family: Bacterial small subunit ribosomal RNA
Source: RNAcentral